Molecule: long non-coding RNA, 648 nt
Filed under: Ficedula albicollis (Collared flycatcher)
Lineage: Eukaryota; Metazoa; Chordata; Aves; Passeriformes; Muscicapidae
Description: lncRNA (ENSFALG00000019261.2)
Source: RNAcentral
UGGAUCCAACACUGGGAAUUCCCAGAGAGCUGAAGGGAUCCAACACUGGAUCCAACCCUUGGUGGCCCCAAGCAGGGCCUGGCCCAGCCCAGCUCCCCUGGUUGGGAUCCUGCCUAAAACCCCCAAAUUCCCGGAUUUCCUUCCUCUUCCCAAGCCUGGACUCCCAAACAUUCCAGAGGAGCCAACUCCAGCAUUCCCACUCCCUGGAUUCACCCCCAGGUGCCUCCCACUGACCCCUCUGUGUCCCAAACUGGGGGUGAUCCCAACAUGGAUUUUGGGUGUCCUGUGGGAUCGAUUCCCUGUGUGCAGGAUGGAUCCCAGCAACAUUCCCAGAAUUCCCAGUAUUCCCAGCCCUCUCUCCCUGCUCUCACACCUUCCAGAUUCCCCAGGGUUGGAUUUUGGAAGGACUGGGACAUUUGGGGUCUUUGGGGUCGCAAAUGGGGCUGGAGGCUGCGGGCAGGGAUUUGGGAUUUGAGAUAAAAAGGAUUUGGAAUCCCAGAGCAAUGUAGGGAUUUGGGAUCCUGGAGCAAUCCAGGGAUUUGGGAUUUGAGAUUAAAAGGAUUUGGGAUCCCAGCCCCCCCCCCCCCCCCCCCCCCCCCCCCCCCCCCCCCCCCCCCCCCCCCCCCCCCCCCCCCCCCCCCCCCCCCC